CCGAUGGGUUCGUGGGCGUGUCAGUGCGCAGGCGUAUUUGACCAGGCUGCCCGAGACUGAGCUGUUUCUGACAGGUGUUCCCCGGGAUAGAGAAGCCAGCUACCGACCUGGACCCCACCAGCACCAUGGGCAGUGGCUGCCGCAUCGAAUGCAUAUUCUUCAGCGAGUUCCACCCCACGCUGGGACCCAAGAUCACCUAUCAGGUCCCGGAAGACUUCAUCUCCCGGGAGCUGUUUGACACUGUCCAGGUGUACAUCAUCACCAAGCCAGAGCUGCAGAACAAGCUCAUCACUGUCACAGCCAUGGAGAAGAAACUGAUCGGCUGCCCUGUGUGCAUUGAGCACAAGAAGUACAGCCGCAAUGCCCUGCUCUUCAACCUAGGCUUUGUCUGUGAUGCCCAGGCCAAGACCUGUGCCCUAGAGCCCAUUGUCAAAAAGCUGGCUGGCUACCUGACCACACUGGAGCUAGAGAGCAGCUUCGUGUCCACGGAGGAGAGCAAGCAGAAGUUGGUGCCCAUCAUGACUAUCUUGCUGGAGGAGCUAAAUGCUUCAGGCCGGUGCACUUUGCCCAUCGAUGAAUCCAACACCAUCCACUUGAAGGUCAUUGAACAACGGCCUGAUCCUCCUGUGGCCCAGGAAUAUGAUGUGCCUGUCUUUACCAAAGACAAGGAGGAUUUCUUCAACUCGCAGUGGGACCUCACCACACAACAGAUCCUGCCCUACAUUGAUGGUUUCCGCCAUGUCCAGAAGAUUUCAGCUGAAGCAGAUGUGGAGCUCAACCUGGUGCGCAUCGCCAUCCAGAACCUGCUGUACUAUGGUGUUGUGACACUGGUGUCCAUCCUCCAGUACUCCAAUGUGUACUGCCCAACACCCAAGGUCCAGGACCUGGUAGAUGACAAGACCCUGCAGGAGGCAUGUCUAUCCUACGUGACCAAGCAAGGGCACAAGAGGGCCAGUCUUCGGGAUGUGUUCCAGCUGUACUGUAGUCUGAGCCCUGGCACCACUGUGAGAGAUCUCAUUGGCCGCCACCCCCAACAGCUGCAGCACGUUGAUGAACGGUCAGAGGGGACCCCUGGGCCAUGAGGGGUUUUCCUGAGGGCAGGUACACUCUCUGGGUCUCUCUGUAGCUCUGGGUCAGAGAGAAAAAAAGGAGAUCCCCAGUGAACAGAAUCAUGUGGCACUGCUGCUCCAGGAGGACUUCCUUGAGGAAGCUGAUCCAGUUCGGGCUUAUGAAGAAUCUCAUCCGGAGACUGCAGAAGUAUCCUGUGCGGGUGUCUCGGGAGGAGCGGAGCCACCCUGCCAGGCUUUAUACGGGCUGCCACAGCUACGAUGAGAUCUGCUGUAAAACAGGCAUGAGCUACCAAGAGCUGGAUGAACGGCUGGAAAACGACCCCAACAUCAUCAUCUGCUGGAAGUGAGGCUGAUGGGAGCUAAACUAGGCACACGGCUAUGGCUGCUCUCUCCAGCUAAGCCCUGCCUGGUGCAUGAGGAAUAGAGCAGCAAACUAGGCCAUACGGUCUCAAGGUUGACCCCCAUUUCUGUAAAUAAAGUAAUGUAUUUCAACUUA
Molecule: RNA transcript, 1566 nt
Organism: Sus scrofa (pig)
Lineage: Eukaryota; Metazoa; Chordata; Mammalia; Artiodactyla; Suidae
Gene: NPRL2
Gene name: NPR2 like, GATOR1 complex subunit
Source: RefSeq, a predicted model, not a curated record